GCUGUUGGUUUGGCUUUCCGAGGGGCUGUCCUGCUAUAAAUAGGGCACUGUACCUCUUUUUGCAUUUUUCCUACUGCAUUCUUUUGAGAGCCUUUCUUCUUCUUGCUUCUUUCUGCGUCCUUUACUUUUCUGAGAAAAACUUCGAACGGCCUCGUUUGUUUGCUGCUGGUGAUUUUAUACCGAGAGAGUAACCGUUCUUCUUCUUCAGAGCUUUAUUUGGUACGUACCUCUUUGUUACUGUCAUUCCUUUGGUUGCAUUCGCUGGUUCUUUAAACUUGGUUUCUGGCUUGCUUGGGCAUUAUUUUGGACAAGUCGCUUGUAAUUGUUGUUGCAUGUUGGUAUUUUGUUGGUGCUCGGGGGGGUUUUUGAGGGGUUUUUCUGACUGCUUUGGGUUAGGGUUUGUGUAUUUUCUGACUGUUUGGUUUGAACCGUUUGCGUUGGUUUUGUAUGUAGAUUUUGGUUUGGCUUUGUGGUAAGAAAUGGCUCCAAAAAAGACUGUUUCAUUUGCCCGGGUCAACGAGGCUGGCGAAAAGGCGA
RNAcentral lists this long non-coding RNA (537 nucleotides) under Vitis vinifera (wine grape). RNAcentral's name for it is "long non-coding RNA (VVIN_LNC002306)". The record is from RNAcentral. Lineage: Eukaryota; Viridiplantae; Streptophyta; Magnoliopsida; Vitales; Vitaceae.